AUACGUAGGGAGCGAGCGUUGUCCGGAAUUACUGGGUGUAAAGGGUGCGUAGGCGGGACUGCAAGUCAGAUGUGAAAUGCCGGGGCUCAACCCCGGAGCUGCAUUUGAAACUGUGGUUCUUGAGUGAGGUAGAGGUAAGCGGAAUUCCUAGUGUAGCGGUGAAAUGCGUAGAUAUUAGGAGGAACAUCGGUGGCGAAGGCGGCUUACUGGGCCUUUACUGACGCUGAGGCACGAAAGCGUGGGGAGCAAACAGGAUUAGAUACCCUGGUAGUCCACGCUGUAAACGAUGAUGACUAGGUGUGGGGGGACUGAACCCUUCCGUGCCGCAGUUAACACAAUAAGUAUUCCGCCUGGGGAGUACGGCCGCAAGGUUGAAACUCAAAUGAAUUGACGGGG
Molecule: ribosomal RNA, 396 nt
Filed under: uncultured bacterium
Lineage: Bacteria
Description: partial 16S ribosomal RNA
Rfam family: Bacterial small subunit ribosomal RNA
Source: RNAcentral